This 70-nucleotide transfer RNA is filed under the name Marmota monax (woodchuck). Its description in RNAcentral is "tRNA.Thr". The stretch from base 5 to 65 matches the Rfam family "tRNA", at positions 5 to 66 of the family's 71-position model. From Rfam's summary of the family: Transfer RNA (tRNA) molecules are approximately 80 nucleotides in length. Their secondary structure includes four short double-helical elements and three loops (D, anti-codon, and T loops). Lineage: Eukaryota; Metazoa; Chordata; Mammalia; Rodentia; Sciuridae. The record is from RNAcentral.
UGGGGUGUGGCUCAGUGGUAGAACACUUACCUAGUGUGUAAGGCCCUGGGUUCAAUUCCCAGCACUGGUA